Molecule: ribosomal RNA, 95 nt
Filed under: uncultured bacterium
Lineage: Bacteria
Description: partial 16S ribosomal RNA
Rfam family: Bacterial small subunit ribosomal RNA
Source: RNAcentral
AGGGCCCACCAAGGCGACGAUCAGUAGCCGGCCUGAGAGGGUGGACGGCCACAUUGGGACUGAGACACGGCCCAAACUCCUACGGAAGGCAGCAG